UUUAUAACUCGAGAUAUGGACUGAACACUAAACAGUGUCUGAGCUACAGGACAGAUUUUGACUUCUCCGUUGUUGUUAAGAUUUGGACUUCCAAACAACAGAAUUGAGUCUUACACUCCCAUGAAUGUUUUAGGCCUAUGUCUUAGCUUUCUAGC
This is a non-coding RNA of Populus trichocarpa (black cottonwood), 155 nucleotides long. NCBI's taxonomy places the organism in Eukaryota, Viridiplantae, Streptophyta, Magnoliopsida, Malpighiales, Salicaceae. The record is from Rfam.